AAGGAGGAUAUUUUUUUUAUGGAUCGAGCUAAAAGUGAACAGCCACUUGCAUUCUUUUUUACUUUUGGAAUCUAAAUUGUUGAAACUGAGGGAAGCACGAACAUCAUCUUAAUGAGUUUGGAUUAAUAAAAUGUUUCAAGAUAGUCUUUAUUUGCAUAUUUAUAGGCCAUAAAGUUGCUUGAGAUCCAUAAUCAUCUUUCUUGAUUCAAAUGCA
Molecule: long non-coding RNA, 214 nt
Filed under: Salvia miltiorrhiza (redroot sage)
Lineage: Eukaryota; Viridiplantae; Streptophyta; Magnoliopsida; Lamiales; Lamiaceae
Description: long non-coding RNA (SMIL_LNC011124)
Source: RNAcentral